GAGGUCCUACGGGGCGCAGCAGUGAGGAAUAUUGGUCAAUGGCCGCAGGGCUGAACCAGCCAAGUCGCGUGAGGGAUGACGGUCCUAUGGAUUGUAAACCUCUUUUGUCAGGGAGCAAAGGGCGCCACGUGUGGCGUUUUGCGAGUACCUGAAGAAAAAGCAUCGGCUAACUCCGUGCCAGCAGCCGCGGUAAUACGGAGGAUGCGAGCGUUAUCCGGAUUUAUUGGGUUUAAAGGGUGCGUAGGCGGACGCUUAAGUCAGCGGUAAAAUUGCGGGGCUCAACCUCGUCGAGCCGUUGAAACUGG
RNAcentral lists this ribosomal RNA (305 nucleotides) under uncultured bacterium. RNAcentral describes it as "bacterial SSU rRNA". It matches the Rfam family "Bacterial small subunit ribosomal RNA", at positions 333 to 636 of the family's 1533-position model. The record is from RNAcentral.